UGCCCUCUUCAGCAGCAGUAUACUAAAAUUAGAAGGAUACAAAGAAGAUUAGCCUGGCCCCUUGCACACACAAAUUUGUGAAGCGUUCCAGUUUUUU
Small nuclear RNA from Ictidomys tridecemlineatus (thirteen-lined ground squirrel), 97 nucleotides. The record is from Ensembl. Lineage: Eukaryota; Metazoa; Chordata; Mammalia; Rodentia; Sciuridae.